RNAcentral lists this microRNA precursor (73 nucleotides) under Felis catus (domestic cat). RNAcentral's name for it is "mir-631 microRNA precursor family". It matches the Rfam family "mir-631 microRNA precursor family". The record is from Rfam by way of RNAcentral. Lineage: Eukaryota; Metazoa; Chordata; Mammalia; Carnivora; Felidae.
GGGGAGCCUGGUCAACUUGGCCCAGACCUCAGCUAUAUAGCUGAUGGGCUGAGUCAGAGGGCCGAGACUCUCC